GAUGAACGCUGGCGGCGUGCCUAAUACAUGCAAGUCGAGCGAACAGAUGAGGAGCUUGCUCCUCUGACGUUAGCGGCGGACGGGUGAGUAACACGUGGAUAACCUACCUAUAAGACUGGGAUAACUUCGGGAAACCGGAGCUAAUACCGGAUAAUAUAUUGAACCGCAUGGUUCAAUAGUGAAAGACGGUUUUGCUGUCACUUAUAGAUGGAUCCGCGCCGCAUUAGCUAGUUGGUAAGGUAACGGCUUACCAAGGCAACGAUGCGUAGCCGACCUGAGAGGGUGAUCGGCCACACUGGAACUGAGACACGGUCCAGACUCCUACGGGAGGCGGCAGUAGGGAAUCUUCCGCAAUGGGCGAAAGCCUGACGGAGCAACGCCGCGUGAGUGAUGAAGGUCUUCGGAUCGUAAAACUCUGUUAUUAGGGAAGAACAAAUGUGUAAGUAACUAUGCACGUCUUGACGGUACCUAAUCAGAAAGCCACGGCUAACUACGUGCCAGCAGCCGCGGUAAUACGUAGGGCGCGAGCGUUGUCCGGAAUUAUUGGGCGUAAAGGGCUUGUAGGCGGUUGGUCGCGUCUGCCGUGAAAUCCUCUGGCUUAACUGGGGGCGUGCGGUGGGUACGGGCUGACUUGAGUGCGGUAGGGGAGACUGGAACUCCUGGUGUAGCGGUGGAAUGCGCAGAUAUCAGGAAGAACACCGGUGGCGAAGGCGGGUCUCUGGGCCGUUACUGACGCUGAGGAGCGAAAGCGUGGGGAGCGAACAGGAUUAGAUACCCUGGUAGUCCACGCUGUAAACGUUGGGCACUAGGUGUGGGGGCCACCCGUGGUUUCUGCGCCGUAGCUAACGCUUUAAGUGCCCCGCCUGGGGAGUACGGCCGCAAGGCUAAAACUCAAAGGAAUUGACGGGGGCCCGCACAAGCGGCGGAGCAUGCGGAUUAAUUCGAUGCAACGCGAAGAACCUUACCAAGGCUUGACAUGCACGGCGGCACUGCAGAGAUGUGGUGGCAUUUAGUUGGUCGUGUGCAGGUGGUGCAUGGUUGUCGUCAGCUCGUGUCGUGAGAUGUUGGGUUAAGUCCCGCAACGAGCGCAACCCUUGCCCUAUGUUGCCAGCACGUGAUGGUGGGGACUCGUGGGGGACUGCCGGGGUUAACUCGGAGGAAGGUGGGGAUGACGUCAAAUCAUCAUGCCCCUUAUGUCUUGGGCUUCACGCAUGCUACAAUGGCUGGUACAGAGGAUUGCGAUACUGUGAGGUGGAGCGAAUCCCUUAAAGCCAGUCUCAGUUCGGAUUGGGGUCUGCAACUCGACCCCAUGAAGGUGGAGUCGCUAGUAAUCGCAGAUCAGCAACGCUGCGGUGAAUACAAUCUCGGGCCU
RNAcentral lists this ribosomal RNA (1372 nucleotides) under uncultured bacterium. RNAcentral's name for it is "partial 16S ribosomal RNA". It matches the Rfam family "Bacterial small subunit ribosomal RNA", at positions 28 to 1381 of the family's 1533-position model. The record is from RNAcentral.